UAACUUUUAACAAUGGAUCUCUUGGCUCUCACAUCGAUGAAGAACACAGUGAAAUGUGAUAAGUAAUGUGAAUUGCAGAAUUCAGUGAAUCAUUGAAUCUUUGAACGCACCUUGCACCUUUUGGUAUUCCAAAA
This 134-nucleotide ribosomal RNA is filed under the name Cronartium ribicola. RNAcentral's name for it is "partial 5.8S ribosomal RNA". It matches the Rfam family "5.8S ribosomal RNA", at positions 1 to 133 of the family's 154-position model. From Rfam's summary of the family: 5.8S ribosomal RNA (5.8S rRNA) is a component of the large subunit of the eukaryotic ribosome. It is transcribed by RNA polymerase I as part of the 45S precursor that also contains 18S and 28S rRNA. Lineage: Eukaryota; Fungi; Basidiomycota; Pucciniomycetes; Pucciniales; Coleosporiaceae. The record is from RNAcentral.